GGCAACUUGGCCGAGCGGUCUAAGGCGCCAGACUCAAGCGAACAGCUUGACCCUCCCAGAGGAUCUGCAUUCUGGUCUCGAAAGAGGCGUGAGUUCGAAUCUCACAGUUGUCA
Molecule: transfer RNA, 113 nt
Filed under: Colletotrichum orbiculare MAFF 240422
Lineage: Eukaryota; Fungi; Ascomycota; Sordariomycetes; Glomerellales; Glomerellaceae
Description: tRNA-Leu for anticodon CAA
Rfam family: tRNA
About the family: Transfer RNA (tRNA) molecules are approximately 80 nucleotides in length. Their secondary structure includes four short double-helical elements and three loops (D, anti-codon, and T loops). Further hydrogen bonds mediate the characteristic L-shaped molecular structure. tRNAs have two regions of fundamental functional importance: the anti-codon, which is responsible for specific mRNA codon recognition, and the 3' end, to which the tRNAs corresponding amino acid is attached (by aminoacyl-tRNA synthetases). tRNAs cope with the degeneracy of the genetic code in two manners: having more than one tRNA (with a specific anti-codon) for a particular amino acid; and 'wobble' base-pairing, i.e. permitting non-standard base-pairing at the 3rd anti-codon position.
Source: Rfam by way of RNAcentral